UGGGGAGUCGUCGAAUUGGUAAGACGCCUGACUCUGGAUCAGGAAGCUGAAGGUUCGAGUCCUUCCUCCCCAGCCA
Molecule: transfer RNA, 76 nt
Filed under: bacterium
Lineage: Bacteria
Also listed under: 1 other name
Description: tRNA-Gln
Rfam family: tRNA
About the family: Transfer RNA (tRNA) molecules are approximately 80 nucleotides in length. Their secondary structure includes four short double-helical elements and three loops (D, anti-codon, and T loops). Further hydrogen bonds mediate the characteristic L-shaped molecular structure. tRNAs have two regions of fundamental functional importance: the anti-codon, which is responsible for specific mRNA codon recognition, and the 3' end, to which the tRNAs corresponding amino acid is attached (by aminoacyl-tRNA synthetases). tRNAs cope with the degeneracy of the genetic code in two manners: having more than one tRNA (with a specific anti-codon) for a particular amino acid; and 'wobble' base-pairing, i.e. permitting non-standard base-pairing at the 3rd anti-codon position.
Source: RNAcentral